ACGGGUGAGUAACGCGUAUCCAACCUGCCCACCACUUGGGGAUAACCUUGCGAAAGUAAGACUAAUACCCAAUGACGUCUCUAGAAGACAUCUGAAAGAGAUUAAAGAUUUAUCGGUGAUGGAUGGGGAUGCGUCUGAUUAGCUUGUUGGCGGGGUAACGGCCCACCAAGGCAACGAUCAGUAGGGGUUCUGAGAGGAAGGUCCCCCACAUUGGAACUGAGACACGGUCCCAACUCCUACGGGAGGCAGCAGUGAGGAAUAUUGGUCAAUGGACGAGAGUCUGAACCAGCCAAGUAGCGUGCAGGAUGACGGCCCUAUGGGUUGUAAACUGCUUUUAUAAGGGAAUAAAGUGAGUCUCGUGAGACUUUUUGCAUGUACCUUAUGAAUAAGGACCGGCUAAUUCCGUGCCAGCAGCCGCGGUAAUACGGAAGGUCCGGGCGUUAUCCGGAUUUAUUGGGUUUAAAGGGAGCGUAGGCCGGAGAUUAAGCGUGUUGUGAAAUGUAGACGCUCAACGUCUGCACUGCAGCGCGAACUGGUUUCCUUGAGUACGCACAAAGUGGGCGGAAUUCGUGGUGUAGCGGUGAAAUGCUUAGAUAUCACGAAGAACUCCGAUUGCGAAGGCAGCUCACUGGAGCGCAACUGACGCUGAAGCUCGAAAGUGCGGGUAUCGAACAGGAUUAGAUACCCUGGUAGUCCGCACGGUAAACGAUGGAUGCCCGCUGUUGGUCUGAAUAGGUCAGCGGCCAAGCGAAAGCAUUAAGCAUCCCACCUGGGGAGUACGCCGGCAACGGUGAAACUCAAAGG
Molecule: ribosomal RNA, 804 nt
Filed under: uncultured bacterium
Lineage: Bacteria
Description: bacterial SSU rRNA
Rfam family: Bacterial small subunit ribosomal RNA
Source: RNAcentral